This 541-nucleotide ribosomal RNA is filed under the name Blastobotrys robertii. Its description in RNAcentral is "LSU rRNA". It matches the Rfam family "Eukaryotic large subunit ribosomal RNA", at positions 56 to 600 of the family's 3401-position model. Lineage: Eukaryota; Fungi; Ascomycota; Dipodascomycetes; Dipodascales; Trichomonascaceae. The record is from RNAcentral.
AUAAGAACCAACCGGGAUUGCCUCAGUAACGGCGAGUGAAGCGGCAAAAGCUCAAAUUUGAAAUCUGGCGUCUUUGGGCGUCCGAGUUGUAAUUUGAAGAAGGUAACUCUGGGGCUGGCCCUUGCAUAAGUUCCCUGGAACGGGACGUCAUAGAGGGUGAGAAUCCCGUUUAUGGUGGGGAGUCCAGUCCUUUGUAGAGUGCUUUCGAAGAGUCGAGUUGUUUGGGAAUGCAGCUCUAAGUGGGUGGUAAAUUCCAUCUAAAGCUAAAUAUUGGCGAGAGACCGAUAGCGAACAAGUACAGUGAUGGAAAGAUGAAAAGAACUUUGAAAAGAGAGUGAAAAAGUACGUGAAAUUGUUGAAAGGGAAGGGCUUGAAAUCAGACUUGGUUUGCAGUGGUAUGUCUUCUCUCGGGGAGGCGGUUACGCUGUUUACUGGGCCAACAUCGAUUCGAGCGGCAGGAUAAUGACAACUGAAUGUGGCUCGCCUCGGGUGAGUGUUAUAGCUUUUGUUGAUACUGCCAGCUUGGAUCGAGGACUGCGCU